Molecule: regulatory RNA element, 63 nt
Organism: Neotoma lepida (desert woodrat)
Lineage: Eukaryota; Metazoa; Chordata; Mammalia; Rodentia; Cricetidae
Rfam family: Gag/pol translational readthrough site
Source: Rfam
UAGGGGAAGUCAGGGUUUGGCCCCCCUCCCCGAACCCAGGAUAACCCUGAAAGUAGAGGGGAA